RNAcentral lists this long non-coding RNA (318 nucleotides) under Ananas comosus (pineapple). Its description in RNAcentral is "long non-coding RNA (ACOM_LNC029708)". Lineage: Eukaryota; Viridiplantae; Streptophyta; Magnoliopsida; Poales; Bromeliaceae. The record is from RNAcentral.
UUGGGUUCGGGGUUAGGGGUGGAAUAACCCCUUAGUCCCGAAGUUAUUUUCAAACACCCAAUUUAGAGCGUCGGGUUAGCUCCACUACUCUAAUCAAACAAAACACUAUUUUAUCUAUUAUCCUUCUUAUCCCGCCUAUUCCAAUCAAACACUAUUUUACCUAUAUCUGGACUAAACCAAAUUCUUAACCAAACACAAAAUUACUUUAAUCCCACCUUAACCCUGACCUUAACUCUAUCCCUGAAAUAACAAAUUUUUACUUAACCCCGAACCAAAUGGUAGCAAAGAGUUUUUUUGUUUUAACCCCGCUUUCGGAUA